This 1552-nucleotide ribosomal RNA is filed under the name Escherichia coli. Its description in RNAcentral is "bacterial SSU rRNA". It matches the Rfam family "Bacterial small subunit ribosomal RNA". RNAcentral also lists the same sequence under 1 other name. The record is from RNAcentral. Lineage: Bacteria; Pseudomonadati; Pseudomonadota; Gammaproteobacteria; Enterobacterales; Enterobacteriaceae.
AAAUUGAAGAGUUUGAUCAUGGCUCAGAUUGAACGCUGGCGGCAGGCCUAACACAUGCAAGUCGAACGGUAACAGGAAACAGCUUGCUGUUUCGCUGACGAGUGGCGGACGGGUGAGUAAUGUCUGGGAAACUGCCUGAUGGAGGGGGAUAACUACUGGAAACGGUAGCUAAUACCGCAUAACGUCGCAAGACCAAAGAGGGGGACCUUCGGGCCUCUUGCCAUCGGAUGUGCCCAGAUGGGAUUAGCUAGUAGGUGGGGUAACGGCUCACCUAGGCGACGAUCCCUAGCUGGUCUGAGAGGAUGACCAGCCACACUGGAACUGAGACACGGUCCAGACUCCUACGGGAGGCAGCAGUGGGGAAUAUUGCACAAUGGGCGCAAGCCUGAUGCAGCCAUGCCGCGUGUAUGAAGAAGGCCUUCGGGUUGUAAAGUACUUUCAGCGGGGAGGAAGGGAGUAAAGUUAAUACCUUUACUCAUUGACGUUACCCGCAGAAGAAGCACCGGCUAACUCCGUGCCAGCAGCCGCGGUAAUACGGAGGGUGCAAGCGUUAAUCGGAAUUACUGGGCGUAAAGCGCACGCAGGCGGUUUGUUAAGUCAGAUGUGAAAUCCCCGGGCUCAACCUGGGAACUGCAUCUGAUACUGGCAAGCUUGAGUCUCGUAGAGGGGGGUAGAAUUCCAGGUGUAGCGGUGAAAUGCGUAGAGAUCUGGAGGAAUACCGGUGGCGAAGGCGGCCCCCUGGACGAAGACUGACGCUCAGGUGCGAAAGCGUGGGGAGCAAACAGGAUUAGAUACCCUGGUAGUCCACGCCGUAAACGAUGUCGACUUGGAGGUUGUGCCCUUGAGGCGUGGCUUCCGGAGCUAACGCGUUAAGUCGACCGCCUGGGGAGUACGGCCGCAAGGUUAAAACUCAAAUGAAUUGACGGGGGCCCGCACAAGCGGUGGAGCAUGUGGUUUAAUUCGAUGCAACGCGAAGAACCUUACCUGGUCUUGACAUCCACGGAAGUUUUCAGAGAUGAGAAUGUGCCUUCGGGAACCGUGAGACAGGUGCUGCAUGGCUGUCGUCAGCUCGUGUUGUGAAAUGUUGGGUUAAGUCCCGCAACGAGCGCAACCCUUAUCCUUUGUUGCCAGCGGUCCGGCCGGGAACUCAAAGGAGACUGCCAGUGAUAAACUGGAGGAAGGUGGGGAUGACGUCAAGUCAUCAUGGCCCUUACGACCAGGGCUACACACGUGCUACAAUGGCGCAUACAAAGAGAAGCGACCUCGCGAGAGCAAGCGGACCUCAUAAAGUGCGUCGUAGUCCGGAUUGGAGUCUGCAACUCGACUCCAUGAAGUCGGAAUCGCUAGUAAUCGUGGAUCAGAAUGCCACGGUGAAUACGUUCCCGGGCCUUGUACACACCGCCCGUCACACCAUGGGAGUGGGUUGCAAAAGAAGUAGGUAGCUUAACCUUCGGGAGGGCGCUUACCACUUUGUGAUUCAUGACUGGGGUGAAGUCGUAACAAGGUAACCGUAGGGGAACCUGCGGUUGGAUCACCUCCUUACCUUAAAGAA